RNAcentral lists this ribosomal RNA (497 nucleotides) under uncultured bacterium. Its description in RNAcentral is "partial 16S ribosomal RNA". It matches the Rfam family "Bacterial small subunit ribosomal RNA", at positions 28 to 507 of the family's 1533-position model. The record is from RNAcentral.
GAUGAACGCUGGCGGCGUGCCUAAUACAUGCAAGUCGAGCGAACGGACGAGAAGCUUGCUUUUCUGAUGUUAGCGGCGGACGGGUGAGUAACACGUGGAUAACCUACCUAUAAGACUGGGAUAACUUCGGGAAACCGGAGCUAAUACCGGAUAAUAUUUUGAACCUCAUGGUUCAUAAGUGAAAGACGGUCUUGCUGUCACUUAUAGAUGGAUCCGCGCUGCAUUAGCUAGUUGGUAAGGUAACGGCUUACCAAGGCAACGAUGCAUAGCCGACCUGAGAGGGUGAUCGGCCACACUGGAACUGAGACACGGUCCAGACUCCUACGGGAGGCAGCAGUAGGGAAUCUUCCGCAAUGGGCGAAAGCCUGACGGAGCAACGCCGCGUGAGUGAUGAAGGUCUUCGGAUCGUAAAACUCUGUUAUUAGGGAAGAACAUAUGUGUAAGUAACUGUGCACAUCUUGACGGUACCUAAUCAGAAAGCCACGGCUAACUACGUG